AUACGUAUGUCGCAAGCGUUAUCCGGAUUUAUUGGGCGUAAAGCACGUCUAGGCGGCUUAGUAAGUCUGAUGUGAAAAUGCGGGGCUCAACCCCGUAUAGCGUUGGAAACUGCUAAACCAGAGUACUGGAGAGGUAGGCGGAACUACAAGUGUAGAGGGGAAAUUCGUAGAUAUUUGUAGGAAUGCCGAUGGGGAAGCCAGCCUACUGGACAGAUACUGACGCUAAAGCGCGAAAGCGUGGGUAGCAAACAGGAUUAGAUACCCUGGUAGUCCACGCCGUAAACGAUGAUUACUAGGUGUUGGGGGUCGAACCUCAGCGCCCAAGCUAACGCGAUAAGUAAUCCGCCUGGGGAGUACGUACGCAAGUAUGAAACUCAAAUGAAUUGACGGGG
This 392-nucleotide ribosomal RNA is filed under the name uncultured bacterium. Its description in RNAcentral is "partial 16S ribosomal RNA". It matches the Rfam family "Bacterial small subunit ribosomal RNA", at positions 523 to 918 of the family's 1533-position model. The record is from RNAcentral.